Long non-coding RNA from Sorghum bicolor (sorghum), 753 nucleotides. RefSeq lists it as uncharacterized. The transcript has 3 exons. The record is from RefSeq and is a predicted model, not a curated record. Lineage: Eukaryota; Viridiplantae; Streptophyta; Magnoliopsida; Poales; Poaceae.
UCAAUCUCGGCCUGCAAAUCAGCGAGACCCAUAUGUCAGAGCAGCUCGAGCCCUGUCCGCGGGUGGGUGACGUGACGCCGGCGGCUGGGCGACGUUGCGACCGACGGCUGGGCGACGUUGCGGCCGGCGGCAGGCCGGGCGACGUGACAGCCGUGGCUGGGCGGGCGACGUGACAGCCGGUGGCUGGGCGGGCGACGUGACGACCGACGGCUGGGAGACGUGACGGCCAGCGGCUGGGCGACCAACAAGCUCCGCCCUUGUAUGCUCCGCAGCUUCGAUUCACUCCAUCUCCACGGAAGUUGCAGGCAAGAUGCCCAUUCUCGUCGCCACCAACAUCGACUAGAUUCUGAACGUGGAAGGGACCGGCCACCGGUGCCUUUUGCCCAAUUCUCAGUAUGUCCAACAAGAUAUCAACGCUUGGAACUAGAGCUCGUCCAUGGUGGGAUGACGAGGAUGAAUCUGAUGUUGACGACCUCUUCAUCAUUGCUGGUCUUCUUGAGGGCUCAAGGAGAAACAAGCGCAAGAAAAAGUUUUUGCAUCAUUUCCUUGUACUCGUCAUCUUCUUCAUUGUUUUUCAGCUUCUCUUUGGAUUGCUUUCUACCUGGAGGUCGCGCUUUCUUAGCUGAAGGGAGUGAGGAGCUCUGUUGGCCUUGGGUGGUUGAGUCAUCGUCCUCUUGUUCACUUCUUACCGGGAGGUUGACCUCUCUGUACUUGGCUGGCCCCUUGUUGCCUUGAAGCGUUGAUUCAAACUUC